Molecule: ribosomal RNA, 252 nt
Filed under: uncultured bacterium
Lineage: Bacteria
Description: partial 16S ribosomal RNA
Rfam family: Bacterial small subunit ribosomal RNA
Source: RNAcentral
UACGUAGGUCCCGAGCGUUGUCCGGAUUUAUUGGGCGUAAAGCGAGCGCAGGUGGUUUAUUAAGUCUGGUGUAAAAGGCAGUGGCUCAACCAUUGUAUGCAUUGGAAACUGGUAGACUUGAGUGCAGGAGAGGAGAGUGGAAUUCCAUGUGUAGCGGUGAAAUGCGUAGAUAUUAGGAGGAACACCAGUGGCGAAGGCGGCCUGCUGGACAGUAACUGACGUUGAGGCUCGAAAGCGUGGGGAGCAAACAGG